This 23-nucleotide non-coding RNA is filed under the name Rattus norvegicus (Norway rat). Lineage: Eukaryota; Metazoa; Chordata; Mammalia; Rodentia; Muridae. The record is from RNAcentral.
UAGCAUAUCUGCUGUGGGAAUUG